This 372-nucleotide unclassified non-coding RNA is filed under the name uncultured bacterium. RNAcentral's name for it is "contains 16S-23S intergenic spacer region". The record is from RNAcentral.
UCCUGGUUUCCUAGGCAGUCCUGCUAGAGUGCUUCUUGCGAAUCGCUACUAACAGCAGGGGUUGCGCUCGUUAAAGGACUUAACCCAACAUCUCACGACACGAGCUGACGACAACCAUGCACCACCUGUAUACCGACCUUGCGGGGCAUCCAUCUCUGAAUGUUUCCGGUAUAUGUCAAGCCUUGGUAAGGUUCUUCGCGUUGCGUCGAAUUAAACCACAUGCUCCACCGCUUGUGCGGGUCCCCGUCAAUUCCUUUGAGUUUCAGUCUUGCGACCGUACUCCCCAGGCGGGAUGCUUAACGCGUUAGCUGCGGCACCCGGGGACUAUAAAACCCCAGACACCAAGCAUCCAUCGUUUAAGGCCAGGACUAC